UACAGAGGGUGCAAACGUUGCUCGGAAUCAUUGGGCGUAAAGCGCACGUAGGCGGUCUGACAAGUCGGGUGUGAAAGCCCCGGGCUCAACCCGGGAAGUGCAUUCGAAACUGUCAGACUUGAGUACCGGAGAGGGUGGCGGAAUUCCCGGUGUAGAGGUGAAAUUCGUAGAUAUCGGGAGGAACACCAGUGGCGAAGGCGGCCACCUGGACGGAUACUGACGCUGAGGUGCGAAAGCGUGGGGAGCAAACAGG
RNAcentral lists this ribosomal RNA (253 nucleotides) under uncultured bacterium. Its description in RNAcentral is "partial 16S ribosomal RNA". It matches the Rfam family "Bacterial small subunit ribosomal RNA", at positions 524 to 776 of the family's 1533-position model. The record is from RNAcentral.